RNAcentral lists this long non-coding RNA (402 nucleotides) under Musa acuminata (dwarf banana). RNAcentral's name for it is "long non-coding RNA (MACU_LNC003897)". Lineage: Eukaryota; Viridiplantae; Streptophyta; Magnoliopsida; Zingiberales; Musaceae. The record is from RNAcentral.
CGGAGAGUUGCAGGUGCUGAGGAGGUCGGAGCUGGCGUUCGGGUAUCGUUGGUCUGCGUUCCAAGACAUGAAGGAUUUAGCUGCGAUCGUAGCGGUCACGUUUCGAUUGACGCCCAGCACCGCGGCAACAGAGCGUCAGAGGGCGUUCCUGGAGAGGUAAGAACAAGAACUCAGUUCCAAGACCCAGUUGUCUAUCAUCUCUUACAGCCGGACCAGUUCCAAAUGUCAAACUGUAGGCGUAGAAGAACUCAACCGAUCGGAGAACGUAGUGCUGGAUCGGUGUUUCGUAACCCUUCGGGUGCAGAAAUGUCAGCGGGAAGGCUGAUUGAGUUGGCAGGACUCAAAGGUUUCGCCGUGGGAGGUGCGAAGGUUUCCAACGUUCAUGCAAAUUUCUUCGUCAAC